RNAcentral lists this ribosomal RNA (253 nucleotides) under uncultured bacterium. RNAcentral's name for it is "partial 16S ribosomal RNA". It matches the Rfam family "Bacterial small subunit ribosomal RNA", at positions 524 to 776 of the family's 1533-position model. The record is from RNAcentral.
UACAGAGGUCCCGAGCGUUGUUCGGAUUCAUUGGGCGUAAAGGGUGCGUAGGCGGCGGGGUAAGUUUGAUGUGAAAUCCCGGGGCUCAACCCUGGAAUUGCAUUGAAUACCACCUUGCUAGAGUACCGGAGAGGAAACUGGAAUUUACGGUGUAGCAGUGAAAUGCGUAGAGAUCGUAAGGAAGACCAGUGGCGAAGGCGAGUUUCUGGACGGUAACUGACGCUGAGGCACGAAGGCCAGGGGAGCAAACGGG